Molecule: transfer RNA, 73 nt
Filed under: Felis catus (domestic cat)
Lineage: Eukaryota; Metazoa; Chordata; Mammalia; Carnivora; Felidae
Rfam family: tRNA
About the family: Transfer RNA (tRNA) molecules are approximately 80 nucleotides in length. Their secondary structure includes four short double-helical elements and three loops (D, anti-codon, and T loops).
Source: Rfam by way of RNAcentral
GCUUGGCUGGCUUAGUCAGUAGAGCAUGCGGCUCUUGAUCUCAGAAACAUGAGUUCAAGCCCCAUGUUGGGCU